UGGGGAAUUUUGGACAAUGGGGGAAACCCUGAUCCAGCCAUCCCGCGUGUGCGAUGAAGGCCUUCGGGUUGUAAAGCACUUUUGGCAGGAAAGAAACGUCAUGGGUUAAUACCCCGUGAAACUGACGGUACCUGCAGAAUAAGCACCGGCUAACUACGUGCCAGCAGCCGCGGUAAUACGUAGGGUGCAAGCGUUAAUCGGAAUUACUGGGCGUAAAGCGUGCGCAGGCGGUUCGGAAAGAAAGAUGUGAAAUCCCAGAGCUCAACUUUGGAACUGCAUUUUUAACUACCGGGCUAGAGUGUGUCAGAGGGAGGUAGAAUUCCGCGUGUAGCAGUGAAAUGCGUAGAUAUGCGGGGGAACACCGAUGGCGAAGGCAGCCUCCUGGGAUAACACUGACGCUCAUGCACGAAAGCGUGGGGAGCAAACAGG
This 429-nucleotide ribosomal RNA is filed under the name Acidobacteriota bacterium. RNAcentral describes it as "Acidobacteria bacterium partial 16S ribosomal RNA". It matches the Rfam family "Bacterial small subunit ribosomal RNA", at positions 355 to 776 of the family's 1533-position model. Lineage: Bacteria; Pseudomonadati; Acidobacteriota. The record is from RNAcentral.